GGCUCUCGAUCCCCAGUACGGCGAGUGAAGAGGGACUAGCCCAAAUUUGUAAUCUGGCUCUUUCAGAGUCCGAGUUGUAAUCUCGAGAACAGUUUUCCGUGUUGGACCUUGUAUAAGUCUGUUGGAAUAUAGCUUCGUAGAGGGUGAGAAUCCCGUACAUAACAAGGACUACCAAUGCUUUGUGAUACUGUCUCUAAGAGUCGAGUUGUUUGGGAAUGCAGCUCAAAUCGGGUGGUAAAUUCCAUCUAAGGCUAAAUAUUGGCGAGAGACCGAUAGCGAACAAGUACCGUGAGGGAAAGAUGAAAAGCACUUUGGAAAGAGAGUUAACAGUACGUGAAAUUGUUAAAAGGGAAACGAUUGAAGUCAGUCUUGUAGCUUUUCGUUCAACCGCAAGGUGUAUUCGGAUUGCAACAGGCCAGCAUCAAUUUUUGGUGUCGGAUAAGGGUAUUGGAAAUGUAGCAAUCUCGGUUGUGUUAUAGUCCUUUACUUGAUACGAUGCUAGGGAUUGAGGAAUGCAGUGAGCCUUUUGGCGGGUCUUUGGACCUUCUCACUUUGGAUGCUGGCGUAAUGGCUUUAAACGACCCGUCUUGAAACCACGGACC
RNAcentral lists this ribosomal RNA (602 nucleotides) under Eocronartium muscicola. RNAcentral's name for it is "partial large subunit ribosomal RNA". It matches the Rfam family "Eukaryotic large subunit ribosomal RNA", at positions 66 to 667 of the family's 3401-position model. Lineage: Eukaryota; Fungi; Basidiomycota; Pucciniomycetes; Platygloeales; Eocronartiaceae. The record is from RNAcentral.